RNAcentral lists this ribosomal RNA (253 nucleotides) under uncultured bacterium. RNAcentral describes it as "partial 16S ribosomal RNA". It matches the Rfam family "Bacterial small subunit ribosomal RNA", at positions 524 to 776 of the family's 1533-position model. The record is from RNAcentral.
UACGUAGGUGACAAGCGUUAUCCGGAUUUACUGGGCGUAAAGGGAGCGUAGGUGGAUAAUUAAGUGGGAUGUGAAAUACCCGGGCUCAACCUGGGUGCUGCAUUCCAAACUGAUUAUCUAGAGUGCGGGAGAGGAGAGUGGAAUUCCUAGUGUAGCGGUGAAAUGCGUAGAGAUUAGGAAGAACACCAGUGGCGAAGGCGACUCUCUGGACCGUAACUGACGCUGAGGCUCGAAAGCGUGGGGAGCAAACAGG